CUAAGCAUAUCAAUAAGCGGAGGAAAAGAAACUAACAAGGAUUCCCCUAGUAACUGCGAGUGAAGCGGGAAAAGCUCAAAUUUAAAAUCUGGUGGCCUUUGUCCAUCCGAGUUGUAAUUUAGAGAAGCGUCUUCCGCGCUGGACCGUGCACAAGUCUCCUGGAAUGGAGCGUCAUAGAGGGUGAGAAUCCCGUCUUUGGCACGGACGCACCAGGGCUUUUGUGAUGCGCUCUCGAAGAGUCGAGUUGUUUGGGAAUGCAGCUCAAAAUGGGUGGUGAACUCCAUCUAAAGCUAAAUAUUGGCGAGAGACCGAUAGCGAACAAGUACCGUGAGGGAAAGAUGAAAAGCACUUUGGAAAGAGAGUGAAACAGUACGUGAAAUUGUUGAAAGGGAAACGCUUGAAGUCAGUCGCGUCGCCCGAGACUCAACCUUGCCUCGGCUUGGUGUACUUCUCGGCUGACGGGUCAGCAUCAAUUUUGCCCCUUGGAUAAUGGCGAGGGAAAUGUGACACCUUUAUAGGUGUGUUAUAGUCUCUAGUCGCAUGCAAGGGUCGGGAUUGAGGAACUCAGCACGCGCCUUUUGGGCGUCGGGGUGUUUCGCCCACGAUACGUGCUUAGGAUGUUGGCGUAAUGGCUUUAAACGACCCGUCUUGAAACACGGACCAAGGAGUCUAACAUGCCCGCGAGUGUUCGGGUGGAAAACCCGUGCGCGCAAUGAAAGUGAAAGUUGGGACCUCUGUCGUGGAGGGCACCAACGCCCGGACCAGACCUUCUGUGACGGAUCUGCGGUAGAGCGUGUAUGUUAGGACCCGAAAGAUGGUGAACUAUGCCUGAAUAGGGUGAAGCCAGAGGAAACUCUGGUGGAGGCUCGUAGCGAUUCUGACGUGCAAAUCGAUCGUCAAAUUUGGGUAUAGGGGCGAAAGACUAAUCGAACCAUCUAGUAGCUGGUUCCUGGCGAGU
This 958-nucleotide ribosomal RNA is filed under the name Russula sp. Its description in RNAcentral is "partial 28S large subunit ribosomal RNA". It matches the Rfam family "Eukaryotic large subunit ribosomal RNA", at positions 34 to 966 of the family's 3401-position model. Lineage: Eukaryota; Fungi; Basidiomycota; Agaricomycetes; Russulales; Russulaceae. The record is from RNAcentral.